Molecule: long non-coding RNA, 280 nt
Filed under: Gossypium barbadense (sea-island cotton)
Lineage: Eukaryota; Viridiplantae; Streptophyta; Magnoliopsida; Malvales; Malvaceae
Description: long non-coding RNA (GBAR_LNC021363)
Source: RNAcentral
AAACCCACUAGAAAGAACGGGAGGUCAUCCAGGGUAGUCCACUUUAUCCGUGACUCUGAGUAAAAGAUUUCCGGGAUCAAGAAACUCGCAAACAAAUAUGCUCGGCUGGACUCUUUUCUCGUAUGUCCGGAAAAUGUUGUUUCGAUACAACUCAGCGCCUUUAUUUCUCGUCUAAACACUCCAGAUCAGCACUUCCCUUUACUCCAUAGGGCCGAAGCUUUACUAAGAAGGGCUUAUUUGUUAGAUGAUGAUUUGAGCAUGCUGAAAAUUAUUUUUCUUA